GAUGAAGAACGUAGCGAAAUGCGAUAAAUAAUAUGAAUUGCAGAAUUCAGCGAAUCAUCGAGUUUUUGAACGCACAUUGCGCCCCUUGGUAUUCCGAGGGGCAUGCCUGUUCGAGCGUCAUUUUGACCACUCCCGCUUGCGGGGUCUUGGGCCUUCGCCUCUGGGCGGGCCUUAAAAUCAGUGGCGGUGCCGUCCGGCUCUAAGCGUAGUAAAUCUCCUCGCUAUAGGGUUCCGGAGGGAUGCUGGCCAACAACCCCCAACUUUUAAGGUUGACCUCGGAUCAGGUAGGGAUACCCGCUGAACUUAAGCAUAUCAAUAAGCGGAGGA
This 327-nucleotide unclassified non-coding RNA is filed under the name soil metagenome. RNAcentral's name for it is "partial contains 5.8S ribosomal RNA, internal transcribed spacer 2, and large subunit ribosomal RNA". The stretch from base 1 to 120 matches the Rfam family "5.8S ribosomal RNA", at positions 35 to 154 of the family's 154-position model. The record is from RNAcentral.